RNAcentral lists this ribosomal RNA (429 nucleotides) under Bacteroidota bacterium. RNAcentral describes it as "Bacteroidetes bacterium partial 16S ribosomal RNA". It matches the Rfam family "Bacterial small subunit ribosomal RNA", at positions 355 to 776 of the family's 1533-position model. The record is from RNAcentral. Lineage: Bacteria; Pseudomonadati; Bacteroidota.
UAGGGAAUCUUCGGCAAUGGGGGGAACCCUGACCGAGCAACGCCGCGUGAGUGAAGAAGGUUUUCGGAUCGUAAAGCUCUGUUGUUAAGGAAGAACGAGUGUGAGAAUGGAAAGUUCAUGCUGUGACGGUACUUAACCAGAAAGGGACGGCUAACUACGUGCCAGCAGCCGCGGUAAUACGUAGGUCCCGAGCGUUGUCCGGAUUUAUUGGGCGUAAAGCGAGCGCAGGCGGUUAGAAAAGUCUGAAGUGAAAGGCAGUGGCUCAACCAUUGUAGGCUUUGGAAACUGUUUAACUUGAGUGAAGAAGGGGGGAGUGGAAUUCCAUGUGUGGCGGUGAAAUGCGUAGAUAUAGGGAGAAACACCGGUGGCGAAAGCGGCUCUCUGGUCUGUAACUGACGCUGAGGCUCGAAAGCGUGGGGAGCGAACAGG